AACGUACGCUGGCGGCACGCCUAACACAUGCAAGUCGAACGAAGUAGCAAUACUUAGUGGCAGACGGGUGAGUAACAUGUGGGUAUCUGCCCUUUGGCCUGGAAUAACACGAGGAAACUUGUGCUAAUACCGGAUAAGUCUUUACGGAGAAAGCUUUAUGCACCAUUGGAUGAGCCCGCACUUGAUUAGUUUGUUGGUGGGGUAAUGGCCUACCAAGACUGUGAUCAAUAGCUGAUUUGAGAGGAUGAUCAGCCACAUUGGGACUGAGACACGGCCCAAACUCCUACGGGAGGCAGCAGUGGGGAAUCUUGCACAAUGGAGGAAACUCUGAUGCAGCGAUGCCGCGUGAGUGAAGAAGGCCCUUGGGUUGUAAAGCUCUUUCGUCGGGGAAGAAAAUGACUGUACCCGAAUAAGAAGGUCCGGCUAACUUCGUGCCAGCAGCCGCGGUAAUACGAAGGGACCUAGCGUAGUUCGGAAUUACUGGGCUUAAAGAGUUCGUAGGUGGUUGAAAAAGUUAGUGGUGAAAUCCCAGAGCUUAACUCUGGAACUGCCAUUAAAACUUUUCAGCUAGAGUAUGAUAGGGGAAAGCAGAAUUUCUAGUGUAGAGGUGAAAUUCGUAGAUAUUAGAAAGAAUACCAAUUGCGAAGGCAGCUUUCUGGAUCAUUACUGACACUGAGGAACGAAAGCAUGGGUAGCGAAGAGGAUUAGAUACCCUCGUAGUCCAUGCCGUAAACGAUGUGUGUUAGACGUUGGAAAUUUAUUUUCAGUGUCGCAGCGAAAGCGAUAAACACACCGCCUGGGGAGUACGACCGCAAGGUUAAAACUCAAAUGAAUUGACGGGGACCCGCACAAGUAGUGGAGCAUGUGGUUUAAUUCGAAGAUACGCGCAGAACCUUACCAACACUUGACAUGUUCGUCGCGACUCUAAGAGAUUAGAGUUUUCGGUUCGGCCGGACGAAACACAGGUGCUGCAUGGCUGUCGUCAGCUCGUGUCGUGAGAUGUUGGGUUAAGUCCCGCAACGAGCGCAACCCUCACUUUUAGUUGCCAUCAUUAAGUUGGGCACUCUGAAAGAACUGCCAGUGAUAAGCUGGAGGAAGGUGGGGAUGACGUCAAGUCCUCAUGGCCCUUACGUGUUGGGCUACACACGUGCUACAAUGGUAUCUACAACAGGAAGCAAGACUGCGAGGUCAAGCAAAUCCUUAAAAGAUACCUCAGUUCGGAUUGCACUCUGCAACUCGAGUGCAUGAAGCUGGAAUUACUAGUAAUCGUGGAUCAGCGUGCCACGGUGAAUGCGUUCCCGGGUCU
RNAcentral lists this ribosomal RNA (1306 nucleotides) under uncultured bacterium. RNAcentral's name for it is "bacterial SSU rRNA". It matches the Rfam family "Bacterial small subunit ribosomal RNA", at positions 28 to 1381 of the family's 1533-position model. The record is from RNAcentral.